UAAAAUAAAUCAAAAAAUUAUUUUUGAUAUAAAAGAUAUUUUUUCGCUUGUUUGGUUCAAUAUAUAAAAUUAUUUACGGAUUUGAAAAAAAAUUGAGGUUUACAUUUUUCAUCUAUUUUUUUUAAUGAAAAGUAAAAAUUCAAGCUGUGUAAAAUUUUUUCAUUCAUAUUUUUUUUUACUGAACCAAACAAAUAUUGGUGAAAAAUUAUUUUUUUCUACAAAUCAAACCAAUACAAAACGUAAAACCCUCUUUUUUCACCGAAUUUUUAUUUUUACGAAAAAUUAUUUUUCACGGUUUUGUGUUGAACCAAAUGGACCCUAAGUGGGAUUUAGAUUGACUCUUUUUUUGCCAAAUAAUUUUUGAUCCACCAAAGAAGCCACAUAAUAUAGAGUAUGAUAUAUAUAUAUAUAAAUAUAUAGAGAGAGAGAGUUGGGCUAGAAUAAUAUUGAUAGCAAAAGAUUUUUUUGCUAUUAAGUUGUUAAUCUUUGGAUCAAUUCCUUUCAUCAUUUCUAACCAUUGAAUUAAAUAUUAUAAUCCAAUGGGGAUCACUCAAUCCAAGGAGAUCACUCAAUCCUAAUAUCAUCUUAACCCUACAAUUUCUCAUCCAAUAGUUAAAAACUUGAUAGCAAAAAGAAUAUUUUGUUAUCAAUAAUAUUCCAGCCAAGCUCUCUCUCUCUCUAUAUAUAUUAAUAUUAUAUAGCAAAGUUUUCAUUCUAAUAUUUCAUUAAUUAAUAUAAAAU
This 741-nucleotide long non-coding RNA is filed under the name Ananas comosus (pineapple). Its description in RNAcentral is "long non-coding RNA (ACOM_LNC027000)". The record is from RNAcentral. Lineage: Eukaryota; Viridiplantae; Streptophyta; Magnoliopsida; Poales; Bromeliaceae.